Molecule: ribosomal RNA, 497 nt
Filed under: uncultured bacterium
Lineage: Bacteria
Description: partial 16S ribosomal RNA
Rfam family: Bacterial small subunit ribosomal RNA
Source: RNAcentral
GAUGAACGCUGGCGGCGUGCCUAAUACAUGCAAGUCGAGCGAACAGACGAGGAGCUUGCUCCUCUGACGUUAGCGGCGGACGGGUGAGUAACACGUGGAUAACCUACCUAUAAGUCGGGGAAAAUUUCGGGAAACCGGAUCAAAUACGGGAUAAUAUAUUGAACCGCAGGGUGCAAUGGUAAAUGACGGUUUUCCUGUCUGUAAUAGCUGCUUCCGCGCUGCAUUAGUUAGUUGGUAAGGUAACGGCUUACCAAGGCAACGAUGCGUAGCCGACCUGAGAGGGUGAUCGGCCACACUGGAACUGAGACACGGUCCAGACUCCUACGGGAGGCAGCAGUAGGGAAUCUUCCGCAAUGGGCGAAAGCCUGACGGAGCAACGCCGCGUGAGUGAUGAAGGUCUUCGGAUCGUAAAGCUCUGUUAUUAGGGAAGAACAAAUGUGUAAGUAACUAUGCACGUCUUGACGGUACCUAAUCAGAAAGCCACGGCUAACUACGUG